RNAcentral lists this small nuclear RNA (317 nucleotides) under Myotis davidii. RNAcentral's name for it is "7SK RNA". It matches the Rfam family "7SK RNA". From Rfam's summary of the family: 7SK was discovered as an abundant small nuclear RNA in the mid-70s but a possible function has only recently been suggested. Lineage: Eukaryota; Metazoa; Chordata; Mammalia; Chiroptera; Vespertilionidae. The record is from Rfam by way of RNAcentral.
GUAUGUGAGGGCGAUCUGGCUGCGACAUCUGUCACCCCAUUGAUCGCCAGGGUUGAUUCGGCUGAUCUGGCUGGCUAGGCGGGUGUCCCCCUCCUCCCUCACCGAUCCAUGUGCGUCCCUCCCGAAGCUGCGCGCUCGGUCGAAGAGGACGACCUUCCCCCCCGAGGAGAGGACCGGUCUUCGGUCAAGGGUAUACGAGUAGCUGCGCUCCCCUGCUAGAACCUCCAAACAAGCUCUCAAAGUAAUUUCAUGUGAUUGUUUAAAUCUAAUAGUUAUUUAAUUUAUUUCAUGCAUUAUUCAUUUAUGCAUAUGUUAAU